Molecule: non-coding RNA, 34 nt
Filed under: Schistosoma mansoni
Lineage: Eukaryota; Metazoa; Platyhelminthes; Trematoda; Strigeidida; Schistosomatidae
Source: RNAcentral
CUGAGGAGUCCCAUAAUAGGACGAAACGGACGUC